UCCCAGUUAAUCUGGGCAGUCUGAACAGAGUCCCCGGCAUUACCCGCUGGCAACAGUUCAUAGGGGUUGCGCUCGUUACGGGACUUAACCCAACAUCUCACGACACGAGCUGACGACAGCCAUGCAGCACCUGUGAUAGUCCACCCGAAGUGACGACAAGCUUUCACAAGUCUACGACUACCAUGUCAAGCCCAGGUAAGGUUCUUCGCGUUGCAUCGAAUUAAGCCACAUGCUCCACCGCUUGUGCGGGUCCCCGUCAAUUUCUUUGAGUUUUAAUCUUGCGACCGUACUCCCCAGGCGGCACGCUUAACGCGUUAGCUCCGGCACAGAAAGGGUCGAACCUUCCCACACCAAGCGUGCACCGUUUACUGUCAGGACUA
RNAcentral lists this unclassified non-coding RNA (380 nucleotides) under uncultured Verrucomicrobiales bacterium. RNAcentral describes it as "contains 16S-23S intergenic spacer region". The record is from RNAcentral. Lineage: Bacteria; Pseudomonadati; Verrucomicrobiota; Verrucomicrobiia; Verrucomicrobiales.